Non-coding RNA from Pocillopora verrucosa, 912 nucleotides. The record is from RefSeq and is a predicted model, not a curated record. NCBI's taxonomy places the organism in Eukaryota, Metazoa, Cnidaria, Anthozoa, Scleractinia, Pocilloporidae.
GCAGGUAAACAAACCGAUCGAUUCCUGAUCACCGUUCUUGUCGAUCGGAAAAUCAAAAUACCAGCGUGAUAUUGCCGCGAAGAUGAAGCAGUUAUGUUACUUGAUUCGUACUUCAUGUUCGAGUCGAAGCUUGGGUGGCACAGGUUAUUUCUUGCGGUGGAAUCGGCGAGGGGAAUUCGAACACUAGUUGUAGUGUUUGAAUUUUUGAAAGAAAUGGUCGCAUGAGGAUUAUUUACCUGCUUGAUUCAUAUCGGUUACGCUUCAUGUUGACAAGUCCCUCAAAAUUGGAGAUUGCCGAAAAUUAGGAGUACUUUUUGUUUACCUUAAGGUACUAUAUUCGCCCUGCAGAUAAAACAUAACACGAAGAAUCGAAAAUUUACUGGCAAGGAUGUCUCUUCUUUCUCCUUAAACGACUAUGGAAAGUUAAGGUUAUUUUUAAUCGGUAUUGACAAAUGUCGAGCUACAAGAAUUCUUUUGCCCCCGCAAAUGCUGCUUAUCCAGUACAUAACACGUUUAAUGUGAUUCGAUGAAAGUAUUUAUCGUUAAACACGCGUAUAAGGUUCAUUUAAAAUGCUCCUGCAACGAGGUUUCGCGAAGUCAGUCACUGCAAGAUUUUAGCCACCAUUCUGUUCCCGAAUGUACGGUUCACCUGGACAGCGGAUGCUACUGUUACUAUGGAAAUGGGGAGGCUAUGCAAGAUGGUGGACAAGGAGGCUAUCCUCCUUCCUGAAGCGAAUUGCUUCAAAUCUUGUAAUCAAUGGUCGAAAAUUAAUUUUUUUCCAAAAAAAACCGGUAUGUUAUGAAUAAUAUGUAGCUUUCCAGAUUUUCAGAUUAAUUCAUCACACCGGACGUGAGGAACUGAGAGCAUUUGUGCCUGUUUAUAGUCUUCUGAAACGACAAGGCAUGGAUGAA